CCCGGGUAAAGUAUCGUACAUCCACCAAAAAGUCGAGAGAGUUACCUGUAUAAUAUCUCAAAAACGAGCGCUCCCUGCAUUUAUAUGCCAAAUUUGGAUUUAGCUAUAGGUUACGCGGCAGACCACGCCUCCUCCACAGCGUUCGCAGGUUGAACUAUUUAAAGACUCUGGUUCUGAGUCCAGCCAUCCCACUCAAAGUGACUGCAAGGCCUACUCCCUGCCAUUUUAUGCAGCAUGACCCCACUGAGCUCUGCAGAUCAAAUCAACUGUGUUCAAAACUGAUAAGGCUUUUUACACUUCAGUCAGCAUCAACCCAAGUUCCAGACACAAGUUAUUUUCCUCAGGUGGGUAUAAUGAGCAUUUUUCACAGGAGAAAGCUGGCAUCCUCUAGGUAGAGGGCAAGCUUUGCUCCCUGCUUUAUGAGUGCAUUCCUGGGGAUCAGAUUCUCAGCACCUUAAGUCAUGCUGACUUCAAUCCUGCAUUCCUACUAAGACUUCUAGAGGAAUCAACCCACAUCACCAAGAAAUGUCAACUCAGCUGGAAAUGAAGCCAGUGCCCAUCUAAGAGUGCUGGAGUAGCCUACGCCGCUCCAGUAUGGCACCCAGGUCCCCACAGCCCACCAACACAAUCAACUUGAGAAGAUCCAACGACAUGCAGCCAAAAUCAUCAUGCGCCCCCCUACACCCCCUACGACUCUGCAUGCAAUGACUUGGGCUUGCAGUCCUUGGAGUCCCGUCGCACCCACCUCUGCAGAUCCUUUGCCCAGAAGCUUGCAAAGUUCCAGGAUUACAACAAAUGGCUGCCUCAGACGAGAGUCCAUGUCAGUGGCAGAUCUGCCCAAUCCAGUCACAAACUGAACCUUCCCCCUACUCUGACUGACAGGUACUACAACAGCCCUAUGCCAUAGUUUGUGAGACUGCUUAAUGCUGCUUAACUGUAAUAUUGUAUACCACAUCUCAUAUUUUUUAUUUACUUACGUUGGGCUUAUGUACGCUGCAAUUCAGCUUUUAGCUGCAAAUGUGAACAAUUCCAA
Molecule: non-coding RNA, 1033 nt
Organism: Salmo salar (Atlantic salmon)
Lineage: Eukaryota; Metazoa; Chordata; Actinopteri; Salmoniformes; Salmonidae
Source: RefSeq, a predicted model, not a curated record